This 253-nucleotide ribosomal RNA is filed under the name uncultured bacterium. RNAcentral's name for it is "partial 16S ribosomal RNA". It matches the Rfam family "Bacterial small subunit ribosomal RNA", at positions 524 to 776 of the family's 1533-position model. The record is from RNAcentral.
CACGGGGGGAGCAAGCGUUGUUCGGAAUUACUGGGCGUAAAGGGCGCGUAGGCGGCUUAUCAAGUCAGGCGUGAAAUUCCCGGGCUCAACCUGGGGGCUGCGCUUGAUACUGAUGAGCUUGAAUGCGGGAGAGGAUAGUGGAAUUCCCAGUGUAGAGGUGAAAUUCGUAGAUAUUGGGAAGAACACCGGUGGCGAAGGCGGCUAUCUGGCCCGUAAUUGACGCUGAGGCGCGAAAGCGUGGGGAGCAAACAGG